This is a long non-coding RNA of Ostrinia furnacalis (Asian corn borer), 2096 nucleotides long. RefSeq lists it as uncharacterized. Lineage: Eukaryota; Metazoa; Arthropoda; Insecta; Lepidoptera; Crambidae. The transcript has 4 exons. The record is from RefSeq and is a predicted model, not a curated record.
ACUUACAAUGCAUAACAAUCAUAAUUAGGUAUUAUAACCCUACUUAACAAUGCAUAACAAUCAUAAGAUAGUUUGGCGUAUAAGUAGGUAGGUAGGUACUAUCUAGGCCGAAGGUGGAAGCGAUCGACCCGGAAAUAUUCUCAACCAUCUCAACUAUCAUAAUAUGUAUUUAGAACAGUCCCUCCUUACCAAUGAUAUUAUAGAUACCAUUGCUCCUUACCAUCAAUGCAAUCGAGCAGACAAAGGACAUUGAUAAAAAUCGCCCUAAGAUUUUCAAAGACUUAGUAUGUACCAUAAUUUUAUGUAUAUUUUAUUUAUUUACUUGCAAGUGUCCAAACCUAUCGGACAAGUUGCAGUUCGAAAAAAUAUUUUAAAAGUAUUUAAACGAAAUCAAAGUCACCGACAUAUUGACAGAGCAGAGACAGAGAUGCGCUUUUUUAAUUCGAUUUAAGUAAAUAAUGGUAUGAUCGAUUAGACUAGAGUCUAAUCAUUAGACCUUUAGACGGGCGCAGAUCCGCCGCGCCCGCAGCGCUUCAGUGGAUUAUUGCAUUUUUUUAUGUAUAUUUAAUCACAUUUAUUUACCUACAUUUACAUAUUUACUCUUUUCUUUAAGUGUAGACACUGUUUAUGUAUAAGUCCACUAUUGCAUGCCGUGGCAACCUAUAAUUAAGGCAGCACUUAGAUUAAGUUAAAUACGUUGUAAAUAUUGAUUGUCUUCCAGUGUAUGUCUUGUUGGUUGUCCUAUUAAAUAAAUAAAAUAAAUAUUUAUAGCAACACAAUGUUUAAAAAUAAAAUUUUUCAAAAACGAUCAAUUUAAUCGAUUAUGUCUAUUCUAAAUGGACAUCCCUAUUUGUUAGUCAAAUUGUCAUUCACUCGCAUCACCUUUUCUCUCUCACUCACUCUUGCUGUGUUGCUGUCUUGCUUGAUCCUUCUUUGUGAUUCGUUUGUGUUUUAGCUUUUAUUUUCGGAACUUUAUUAACUACAAACUUGGCUAUUCAAACGGACUCUGAUUGAUUGCAAUAACGACAUACUCAGCCUGGGAUUUACUGUUUUUGUGUGGCUCGGCCAAGGCUCGGCUGGUGGUUCUAUGGUGUUAGAAAAUGAGCAACUUAAUUAUACACAACAAUGGGCAGCACCUCGAUCGGUUACAGCUCAUGAUCUUAUAUGCACAACAUGUUGGACCCAAGCCCAAGAUACAACACAAAUGCAUCUACUUCAAAUCUUAGCAGAAAAUGUGUGCUUUGCAGUAGAACACUAGAGCCUAGAACACGUUCACAUCAGCUCAUGUCCCUGAGAACUAACACUCAACAUCAUAUUAACAUCAGGAACAUAAUUGUGGAACGACUAACUCCAUUAGAGGUUACUGCAAAUGACUACAUCUGUGGGGCUUGUCACUCAUUAUUGCAAAGAGAUACCACACCUACUUCACAAGACUCUCCAGAUAUGCCAACCGGUGCCCCGGUAGGUCACCAACAAGUUUGUGUUGGAUGUGGUUGUUCAUUAUUGCGAACUUGAAGUCAUUGUUUGGAUACAGAGAAUAAUCAAGAUAUAUUAAACAUUGUUCGAAAUUGGAUUCAACCCAGAGAGAUUCGUCCUUCAGAUCUUCUUUGCCAUAGAUACUAUCAGAGAGCACGAAUUACUACAGUUGGUGCUUAUUUAAUGAAGCUGAGGACCGGUGAUUCAGAUGACAGAAUAGCUACAUUACUUGGCAUUUCAAGGAGUACUCUUACAAAAUAUGUAAUGAAAGCACGCAGUAUGAUGGAGGAACAUUUCGUACCAGCACAUUUAGGGUUACAACAUAUUAGUAGAGAGGAAGUAGCCCAAAGAAACCUUUAUGUUCCAGUCUCUUUUCGGGAAGCCAGGAAACGAUUUACCACAAAGAAAGGCUAUUGUCAUCAUGGAUGGUACAUACAUACAUUUAUGUGCAAAAAAGUAGCAAUUAUGCAUACCAAAAAAAAAACUUAUUCCCUAUACAAAUAUCGGAAUCUCGUUAAACCAUUUAUGGUACUUUGUUGUGAUGGCGACAUCAUUGAUGUAUUGGGCCCAUAUUUAAUAGAAAAUGUAGAACAUGACCAUUAAUAAAUAAUAAGUACCUA